This 439-nucleotide ribosomal RNA is filed under the name uncultured bacterium. RNAcentral's name for it is "bacterial SSU rRNA". It matches the Rfam family "Bacterial small subunit ribosomal RNA", at positions 28 to 479 of the family's 1533-position model. The record is from RNAcentral.
GACGAACGCUGGCGGCGUGCUUAACACAUGCAAGUCGAACGGUAAGGCCCUUCGGGGUACACGAGUGGCGAACGGGUGAGUAACACGUGGGUGAUCUGCCCUGCACUUCGGGAUAAGCUUGGGAAACUGGGUCUAAUACCGGAUAGGACCACGGUCUGCAUGGAUUGUGGUGGAAAGCUUUUGCGGUGUGGGAUGGGCCCGCGGCCUAUCAGCUUGUUGGUGGGGUGAUGGCCUACCAGGGCGACGACGGGUAGCCGGCCUGAGAGGGUGUCCGGCCACACUGGGACUGAGAUACGGCCCAGACUCCUACGGGAGGCAGCAGUGGGGAAUAUUGCACAAUGGGCGCAAGCCUGAUGCAGCGACGCCGCGUGGGGGGAUGACGGCCUUCGGGUUGGUAACCGUACUUUCUAGCAGGGACGAAGGGUGACGUGACGGUACC